Molecule: unclassified non-coding RNA, 1784 nt
Filed under: Hevea brasiliensis (rubber tree)
Lineage: Eukaryota; Viridiplantae; Streptophyta; Magnoliopsida; Malpighiales; Euphorbiaceae
Source: RNAcentral
GUCGAUUUACCCAUUUUGGAAUUGAGUUCCCAGUCAGCUUGUAGCACAUAUCCUCAGAGAAAUGAUUGCAGUUUUUAACUAUCAAAUGAUACAUAUCACCAUUGUAGUUUGCAGACAGACGUUCCAUGAACUCUCUAAUCUGAAAUGGAUCUAAGGAUGUUGUCCCCAUGAAUAUUGACUUCCUAAACUUGAAACCAGGACACUGUCGAGGUUCAACCUCAAAGACACCACUUGAUGGAUAGUCAUGGGCUCCAAAGGCAUAUUCUACACCGUGAACUGUUAGAAUCCACAACCACAAGGACAAUCAGCAAAGCUUUUGCAUCAUCCUGAGAUAUCAUGAUCUAGGAAAAUAACAAGGAUGCAUAGCAGAAUGUGCGUAUUUAAAUAUUCUAGAAUGAUUUUUUUUUUAUUUGCUUGCAUAAUUAAACCAGAUUCUAAGUCCUAGACUCCUAGUUGUAAACAUGCAUCUAAAUGUGCACAUGUGCACUUGUAUAUAUAUUUAUGCUAAUAAUAAUCAUGAAAACAGAAGAACCUGGGUAUCCAAAAGAACAAAAUCAAAAGGAAUGUGGGACAGCAAGGAUGCCAUACUUUUGGCAAGGAUCAAGGUUUUAGUAAAAUAUAUCAAUACUUGGUUUUCUUCAACAUGCCACAUCUAAUGAGUCACCCAAACUAUUGAAUUUCUUUUUUUUACCUCUCAAAUGCAUUCAGCAACUUUUCUCCCAAAUAAUUAGAAAAAUGAUCAAUUGGAGUUGAAUGAAAAAGGCUCUCAUUUCAUUAUCGACAAUAAUAAUCACCAACUCAAAAGUGCCAUUCAUGGACGACCAUAUGAUUUUUUAAAUGGAAACCCCAUGAGAACGUAGAGCAUCAGAUAAUUCAUAACCUUGGAACCAUCUAUUCAAACAAAACAGUGACAGCGCUGUAUUCAUGACCAAGAGCAAUUUAGUAUAAAUCUAACCUUCCACCCCAGAGUGAAAGACUCCAAAACCUGCCCAGUAGACAUAGCCAUUAAUGGUUGUCAAGUCAUACACAUUGAGGUAGACAGGUGAGUUGCCUGGGCUAUAGCCUGCAGACUUAACUUUGGGGAAAAUGCAAAAGCUGGUGGUUGAUUUGCCCCUGAAAUGAAGAGGCAUAAAGGAGUGCCACACAUUCUUUGUUCCCAUUUUCAUGUUUAAGGGUGAAAGCAGGAAAAGUCUGCCUAGUUCUGAUCACAAAAUGUGCAAGACAAGUCAAGAGAUGCAACAGUGAAGACUAGUAGCCAAAGCCAUCAAAGGACAAAAUUGGAAUCAAAGCCACAUUGUAAUUUUAAAAACCAAGGAACCCAUGUGGAGAACUGAGAAUCAAAGACACCAACUUCCCUUGCUAAAGGAAGCCUCCCAAGACAAAUUGCAGCAUAAAGUCAAAGCCAUUGAACAAACAGCAACAAGAGCUCAGACAGCUUGUUGCAGAGAAUUCUCAUGAAACAAUGCAGCAGAGGAAGGUAUGCUACCAUAAAAACGACAUUUUUUAAGUUUUCAAGGCUAAGGGAGUUGGUCCUGAUAGUGAAGAAUGUGUGGGUGUGCCUGAAACCCACACAUUGUUCCUUCUUGUCCUUCCUACUGACAAAAAUGAAAGCUGGAGAAACACAGAAACUACGGUCCUUUCUUAGAAGUCCAAUGAGGAAAGACAAGAAUCAAUAAAGAAAUGGGAACAAAUUAUAUAUAAUUAUUAAAUUUACGGGUAAAGGAAAAAGAAGAUUGGACUAAUUGAUUGUUGACUGACUUGCUUUUGGAAGUUGGACUAAAAAU